AGUGAACGCCGGCGGUAGGCCUAACACAUGCAAGUCGAACGGCAGCAUUGAGGAGCUUGCUCCUUGGGUGGCGAGUGGCGGACGGGUGAGGAAUACAUCGGAAUCUACUCUGUCGUGGGGGAUAACGUAGGGAAACUUACGCUAAUACCGCAUACGACCUACGGGUGAAAGCAGGGGAUCUUCGGACCUUGCGCGAUUGAAUGAGCCGAUGUCGGAUUAGCUAGUUGGCGGGGUAAAGGCCCACCAAGGCGACGAUCCGUAGCUGGUCUGAGAGGAUGAUCAGCCACACUGGAACUGAGACACGGUCCAGACUCCUACGGGAGGCAGCAGUGGGGAAUAGUGGACAAUGGGCGCAAGCCUGAUCCAGCCAUACCGCGUGGGUGAAGAAGGCCUUCGGGUUGUAAAGCCCUUUUGUUGGGAAAGAAAUCCAUCGGGUUAAUACCCGGGUGGGAUGACGGUACCCAAAGAAUAAGCACCGGCUAACUUCGUGCCAGCCGCCGCAGUAA
This 506-nucleotide ribosomal RNA is filed under the name uncultured bacterium. Its description in RNAcentral is "partial 16S ribosomal RNA". It matches the Rfam family "Bacterial small subunit ribosomal RNA", at positions 29 to 523 of the family's 1533-position model. The record is from RNAcentral.